This is a long non-coding RNA of Pongo pygmaeus (Bornean orangutan), 306 nucleotides long. RefSeq lists it as uncharacterized. Lineage: Eukaryota; Metazoa; Chordata; Mammalia; Primates; Hominidae. The transcript is spliced from 3 exons. The record is from RefSeq and is a predicted model, not a curated record.
CUUCCUGACCUACCUACGCCAUGUUGCCUGUUUCUUUACUGUACAUGUGCUGACGAAGAAAAGGGAAGAUGGAGCCUCCAUGUUGAACAUGCCUGGCCCUCAGCAUUCCUCCUUCUGGAACUAAGACCUCUAGGCCAGCAGAAUGUAAUGUCAUGGGAAGAGGAAGCAAAAAUUUUGCUCGUGGAUCACUAGAGGUGAUGAUUGAUUUCUUCUGAAAAAAUAUAUUCCUGAAAUUAAAACUGAGAAAUCCUGAUUGAAAGAGAGUGGGUUUUCUUGUCUACUCAAUAUAAUGGGAAUAUUAGCCUU